GGCUGGGGAAUUCUGGGAGUUGAAGUCCACAUGUCUUAAAGUGGCUAAGUUUGGAGAGCCUUGGACUAACUUAACUCCUUCACUGCUCUGCAGGGUGGUGGCCCUUGAAAGUUUCCGAUUCCCAUAGCCAGUUUUCAGUACGCCAUGGAUUUAGUGUGUGUGUGUGUGUAUAUUUAUAAACCAAAUCUGGAACUGAAGACACACGGGGGUCUAUUCUCCUCUACUUUUCCCAUGUUCUCUGGGACGUCCUUCCCCACCUUGGUGCCCUUCCCUUCCCCAGAUGUAUAGGGACUAACUACCACAACAACAACCACAACAAAAAGGCACACCCAGUGGGAAUGGGAGACGCUUCUCCACAUAGCUGGUAGGCUGCCCUAAAAUCUUAAGGGAUUCCCUUUGUCUGUUCUGCUGCAAAUAUUUUCCUUUUUUUUUUUGACUUGCUGCUCUUGCUACCAGACCAAAUUCUCUUCCAUCCUUGGCAUGAAACUUUGUACAAAUUUCCUAGAUGAUUGGAUAUUGUACCAAACUCCUCUUUGCGCAAUUACAAAGGGUUCCAGAUUUUCCUCGCUGUCUUCAAAAUUGGCAUAAAUUUGCCCCAAAAGGAACCUGGUUUUCCGUUGGGGCCAAACUAACCAUACAUUUCACUACAGGUAGUCUUCGACUUAAUGACCACAAUGGAGCUUGCCCAUCAUGUGCCAGUCCUAAAAUGGGUCAGUCAUGCAAAGAGCCUGAUUUUAUAAACUUUUUUUUUUUUUUGCCAGGGGGUCAUUAAGCGAAUGCAACGGUCCUAAAGUGGCCACCGUGGUUGUUAAGUGAGCAUAGCAGUCAUUAAGUGAACCAAUGGUUCUUAUGGGCAUAGCUUUGCUGAAAACUGGAAAGAAAUGCUGAUGUUUUUUUCCCCACCCCAGCAAAACGAUCAUAUAAUGCGGUCACAUGAUCGCGAGGCUGCAAGUGGCCUCCAAUGCAAAAGAAAUCCGGUCGUGUGACUGCAGGGGAGGCGACUGUCGGAUCUUCAGAUCUGGGUCAUAAGUAGCCCCCAAAUAGUUCCGUCAUAAGUUGGAAUGGUUGCUUAGCAAACGGUCGCAAGAGUAGGACUACCUGUAUUAGUGGCUGAGAGGGCUCUAACAUGCAUUUCAGCAGGCAUUGAGCUGGGCCUUGGCCAAGCCAGUUACGUCCAGAUAAAUUUCAACUCUAUCUUUAAAAAAAUGGAUUCCUCGCAUAGGAACGAAAACUUCAUUUUGGGGGGAUAAUUCUUGCCGUUCAGCUCUUUUGUACCUUCUUGAAAACUAGUUGAACCUUUUAAACUAGCUAGCAUGGAAAAUUCUCAAAUGAGUACCAGAGUAAAACUCUCUUUGAAUUUCUUCCCAUGAAGCUGGACACUUUCGUGCAGUUUACACACACACACACACAGUAUCCCUUCCACAUUGCUGGUACAACUGUGUGAAGGAUACAAAUUCUAAAUAGCCAAGAACCAAAAUUAAGAAUAUGUUUUUAACAGAAUAACAGAGUUGGAAGGGACCUUGGAGGUCUUCUAGUCCAACCCCUUGCUCAUCUUGCCCCAACCCACAAGUGUUUAAAUGAGUAUUUAAAGCAUCGCUGGCUGGGGAAUUCUGGGAGUUGAAGUCCACAAGUCUUAAACUUGCUAAACACUGUUUUAGCUCUUUAUCUGCUUAGCUUUUUGGCCCUUAUGAUUUAUUUUUUCCCUUGAAAAUAACGAUUGGAAAGAGCAGGGUGAUGGGUGCAAAAAAUCAGAAAACUAUGCAAAAUCGCUGAGAGCAGAGGGUCCAGCCUGAUUCGAAACCCCUGAGGCUAAACAACCUCCCCUCCAGUAGUUUUUAAAAUGUAAUAGCCAUAAUAAACCCAGUUAGUUUGAUUGGAGGUGUGCUGGCCCAGGAUCAGCAAAAUAACUUUUUAAAAAGCCUUACGACUCAGGAAAGAUUUCAAGAUGUUUGAGUGCCUCCUGUCCUCUUUGCUAUUCCACCUCAAAAUAAUGCUUUCUUCGGGAUCUUCAGAAUGCUAGGUGGGUCUUUCACAUUCAGCGAAGAAGAAAAAUACGCAAUUUUUCUUCUUGCUUUCUCGGAAAGGUGGUUAAUAAAAGCCGAGGAGGCCCCCAGAGGACAUCCAUCCAACACACUUCCCCAAAUGGCCUGGCUCCAUUUUUGUCAGGAAG
Non-coding RNA from Pseudonaja textilis, 2170 nucleotides. Lineage: Eukaryota; Metazoa; Chordata; Lepidosauria; Squamata; Elapidae. The record is from RefSeq and is a predicted model, not a curated record.